AUUCCAGCUCCAAUAGCGUAUAUUAAAGUUGCUGCAGUUAAAAAGCUCGUAGUUGGAUUUGUGGCGCGGCCGUCCGGCACGGAUCCUUCAUUGGGCCCGUUUGUCCGGUUUUUCGGCCGCCCCAUUCUCGGGUAGUGUGUCGCUGGCAUUAGGUUGUCGGCUUCUUCACGCCCGUCGUUUACUGUGAAAAAAUUAGAGUGUUCAAAGCAGGCUUAGGCCGUUGGAUACAUUAGCAUGGAAUAAUGAGAUAGGGCCACGACGGUCUAUUUUGUUGGUUUGCACGUUGUGGUAAUGAUUAACAGGAACGGUUGGGGGUAUUCGUUUUCAAUUGUCAGAGGUGAAAUUCUUGGAUUUAUGGAAGACGAACUACUGCGAAAGCAUUUACCAAGGAUGUUUUCAUUA
Molecule: ribosomal RNA, 402 nt
Filed under: Phaeophyceae sp.
Lineage: Eukaryota; Phaeophyceae
Description: partial small subunit ribosomal RNA
Rfam family: Eukaryotic small subunit ribosomal RNA
Source: RNAcentral